Molecule: ribosomal RNA, 484 nt
Filed under: uncultured bacterium
Lineage: Bacteria
Description: partial 16S ribosomal RNA
Rfam family: Bacterial small subunit ribosomal RNA
Source: RNAcentral
AUUGAACGCUGGCGGAAUGCUUUACACAUGCAAGUCGAGCGGCAGCACGGGGGCAACCCUGGUGGCGAGCGGCGAACGGGUGAGUAAUACAUCGGAACAUGCCCAGUCGUGGGGGAUAACACUUCGAAAGAAGUGCUAAUACCGCAUACGUCCUGAGGGGGAAAGCGGGGGAUCGCAAGACCUCGCGCGAUUGGAGUGGCCGAUGUCAGAUUAGCUAGUUGGUGGGGUAAAGGCCUACCAAGGCAACGAUCUGUAGCUGGUCUGAGAGGAUGAUCAGCCACACUGGGACUGAGACACGGCCCAGACUCCUACGGGAGGCAGCAGUGGGGAAUUUUGGACAAUGGGGGCAACCCUGAUCCUGCCAUUCCGCGUGAGUGAAGAAGGCCUUCGGGUUGUAAAGCUCUUUCGGCAGGAACGAAACGGUGAGCUCUAACAUAGCUUGCUAAUGACGGUACCUGAAGAAGAAGCACCGGCUAACUACGUG